Molecule: unclassified non-coding RNA, 329 nt
Filed under: soil metagenome
Description: partial contains 5.8S ribosomal RNA, internal transcribed spacer 2, and large subunit ribosomal RNA
Rfam family: 5.8S ribosomal RNA (bases 1-120)
Source: RNAcentral
GAUGAAGAACGUAGUGAAAUGCGAUAAGUAGUGUGAAUUGCAGAAUUCAGUGAAUCAUCGAAUCUUUGAACGCACAUUGCGCCCCUUGGUAUCCCGAGGGGCAUGCCUGUUCGAGCGUCAUUUCACCACUCAAGCCUGGCUUGGUGUUGGGCGACGUCCCCUUUGGGGACGCGCCUCGAAACGCUCGGCGGCGUGGCACCGGCUUUAAGCGUAGCAGAAUCUUUCGCUUUGGAAGUCGGGGCCCCGUCUGCCGGAAGAUCUACUCGCAAGGUUGACCUCGGAUCAGGCAGGGAUACCCGCUGAACUUAAGCAUAUCAAUAAGCGGAGGA